GGGGCUGUAGCUCAGUGGUAGAGCACUUGCCUUGUGCAUGUAAGGCCCUGGGUUUGAGCCCCAGCACCA
This 69-nucleotide transfer RNA is filed under the name Ictidomys tridecemlineatus (thirteen-lined ground squirrel). Its description in RNAcentral is "Spermophilus tridecemlineatus (thirteen-lined ground squirrel) tRNA". It matches the Rfam family "tRNA". Rfam says of the family: Transfer RNA (tRNA) molecules are approximately 80 nucleotides in length. Lineage: Eukaryota; Metazoa; Chordata; Mammalia; Rodentia; Sciuridae. The record is from Rfam by way of RNAcentral. RNAcentral also lists the same sequence under 1 other name.